Molecule: ribosomal RNA, 282 nt
Filed under: Escherichia coli
Lineage: Bacteria; Pseudomonadati; Pseudomonadota; Gammaproteobacteria; Enterobacterales; Enterobacteriaceae
Also listed under: 4 other names
Description: partial 23S ribosomal RNA
Rfam family: Bacterial large subunit ribosomal RNA
Source: RNAcentral
CCGUAACUAUAACGGUCCUAAGGUAGCGAAAUUCCUUGUCGGGUAAGUUCCGACCUGCACGAAUGGCGUAAUGAUGGCCAGGCUGUCUCCACCCGAGACUCAGUGAAAUUGAACUCGCUGUGAAGAUGCAGUGUACCCGCGGCAAGACGGAAAGACCCCGUGAACCUUUACUAUAGCUUGACACUGAACAUUGAGCCUUGAUGUGUAGGAUAGGUGGGAGGCUUUGAAGUGUGGACGCCAGUCUGCAUGGAGCCGACCUUGAAAUACCACCCUUUAAUGUUU